AUGGAGGAAUCGAGGCCGAGGAGGGCGCAGCCGGCGCCGGCGAGGAUCCGCCCCGUGCCGAUCGCCGUCACGCCGGAGGGCUUCUGGUGCUGCCCCUCGCCAGCGGCGCUGCACAAGAGCCUCAAGAACCCGCAUCACCACCACGGCCACGCCGGCGGCAACAGCCACAGCCAUAGCCACAGCAAGCAGCAGCGCAAGAUCCCGUCGGCACCCCCAUCCGUGGCGCCCUCCGUGCAGAACGCGCCGUCCGUCACCGACGAGCCAGGGCGCCGGGAAGCUCCCGACGAGCAGAACGCGGCGGCGGCCGAGAUUGCGGCGGAUAAGCGGCCGGAGCAGGCUGGCGACGCGGAGGCUCAGCAGCACAAGAUCUGCGUUGGGUUCGGGCAGCCUGAGACGAGCGACCUGACGGUGAUGCUGUAUGGCAAGGAAGGGAUUACUGUCAGGAUGAGUGUGCAUAGGGACGUUCUCUCUGGAAGCAGCGCUUUCUUCGCCGAGAAGCUCUCUGACGGCGACAAUGGCCAUGGUGGCUCUCUGGUGCCAUGCGUGGAGAUCCAUGACUGCGACGAUGCCGAGAUCUAUGUGGAGACUGUCGGGCUGAUGUACUGCGACGAGGCGAAGCACAAGCUGCUCAAGCAGAAUGUGUCGCGUGUGCUUCGCAUCAUGAAGUGGCUAAAUUUGCAGGUUGCUGAAUUACUCGGUUUCCAUGCUUGUGUGAAGUCAUGCUUGGAUUAUUUGGAAGCAGUUCCUUGGGUCGGUGAGGAAGAAGACAGCGUUGUGUCGUCCAUACGACAUCUUCAGAGCAAGUCUUAUGGAGUUAGCCCUCUGCUGAAAAGAGUUACGUCUGACAGCCCGUACUCACCAACCGAUACUUUGUCUCAUAUUAUGGAGAUGGUCUUGAAGAGCAAUGAUGACAGGGGACGUCGGGAAAUGAAGGCCCUAGUUCUGAAUCUUCUCAAGGAUAGCAGCCGUUGCACAGAUGGAACAUCAGACAUCUGUUGUGAACUAUUUUACGGUUCGUGUCGAGGUUGCUUGGAAAGACUUCAGCCACUCUUUGUGGAAGCAUCUGAAGCAGGUUUUCCUUCCCAAGUUACACGCCAAAUAACUCUGGAGACUGACAAUAUCCUCUGGUUGGUUGAGAUAUUGGUUAACCAACGAAUUUGCGAUGAUUUUGUGGUCAUGUGGGCAAGCCAAAGUGAGCUUGCGUCAUUACAUGCAAAAUUGCCUAUCGCCUCUCGCCACACAGUUAGCAGUAUAACAGCAAGGCUCUUUGUUGGCAUCGGAAGAGGAGAAAUGCUUCCGUCCAAGGACACUCGUCUUCUCCUCCUGCAAGUCUGGCUGCAAGCACUCAUCGAUGACUACUCAUGGCUACAAUGCAGCUGCCGGUCAUUUGAUAGGAAGCUUGUCGAGGAAGGGAUUGGGCAGACAAUCCUGACACUUCCUUUGGAAGACCAGCGGUCUAUAUUACUGUCAUGGCUCGGGAGGUUCUUGAAAUUAGGCGAUAACUGCCCGAAUUUGCAGAGGGCGUUCGAGGUAUGGUGGAGAAGGACUUUCGUCAGACCUUAUGUCAACCAGGCAAGGUAA
Molecule: ribosomal RNA, 1581 nt
Filed under: Triticum aestivum (bread wheat)
Lineage: Eukaryota; Viridiplantae; Streptophyta; Magnoliopsida; Poales; Poaceae
Description: partial small subunit ribosomal RNA
Source: RNAcentral